AGUGGCGAACGGGUGAGUAACACGUGAGCAACCUGCCCCUGACUCUGGGAUAAGCGCUGGAAACGGCGUCUAAUACUGGAUACGAGUAGCGACCGCAUGGUCAGUUACUGGAAAGAUUUAUUGGUUGGGGAUGGGCUCGCGGCCUAUCAGCUUGUUGGUGAGGUAAUGGCUCACCAAGGCGUCGACGGGUAGCCGGCCUGAGAGGGUGACCGGCCACACUGGGACUGAGACACGGCCCAGACUCCUACGGGAGGCAGCAGUGGGGAAUAUUGCACAAUGGGCGCAAGCCUGAUGCAGCAACGCCGCGUGAGGGAUGACGGCCUUCGGGUUGUAAACCUCUUUUAGCAGGGAAGAAGCGAAAGUGACGGUACCUGCAGAAAAAGCGCCGGCUAACUACGUGCCAGCAGCCGCGGUAAUACGUAGGGCGCAAGCGUUAUCCGGAAUUAUUGGGCGUAAAGAGCUCGUAGGCGGUUUGUCGCGUCUGCUGUGAAAUCCGGAGGCUCAACCUCCGGCCUGCAGUGGGUACGGGCAGACUAGAGUGCGGUAGGGGAGAUUGGAAUUCCUGGUGUAGCGGUGGAAUGCGCAGAUAUCAGGAGGAACACCGAUGGCGAAGGCAGAUCUCUGGGCCGUAACUGACGCUGAGGAGCGAAAGGGUGGGGAGCAAACAGGCUUAGAUACCCUGGUAGUCCACCCCGUAAACGUUGGGAACUAGUUGUGGGGUCCAUUCCACGGAUUCCGUGACGCAGCUAACGCAUUAAGUUCCCCGCCUGGGGAGUACGGCCGCAAGGCUAAAACUCAAAGGAAUUGACGGGGACCCGCACAAGCGGCGGAGCAUGCGGAUUAAUUCGAUGCAACGCGAAGAACCUUACCAAGGCUUGACAUAUACGAGAACGGGCCAGAAAUGGUCAACUCUUUGGACACUCGUAAACAGGUGGUGCAUGGUUGUCGUCAGCUCGUGUCGUGAGAUGUUGGGUUAAGUCCCGCAACGAGCGCAACCCUCGUUCUAUGUUGCCAGCACGUAAUGGUGGGAACUCAUGGGAUACUGCCGGGGUCAACUCGGAGGAAGGUGGGGAUGACGUCAAAUCAUCAUGCCCCUUAUGUCUUGGGCUUCACGCAUGCUACAAUGGCCGGUACAAAGGGCUGCAAUACCGCGAGGUGGAGCGAAUCCCAAAAAGCCGGUCCCAGUUCGGAUUGAGGUCU
This 1200-nucleotide ribosomal RNA is filed under the name Microbacterium phyllosphaerae. Its description in RNAcentral is "bacterial SSU rRNA". It matches the Rfam family "Bacterial small subunit ribosomal RNA", at positions 94 to 1306 of the family's 1533-position model. Lineage: Bacteria; Bacillati; Actinomycetota; Actinomycetes; Micrococcales; Microbacteriaceae. The record is from RNAcentral.